AGUUGCCGUGCCGCUGCUGCUGUUAUUCCUCUUCGCCUCCAUUUCUCUUCUUCUUCUAGCAUCUCUCUUGCCCCGUUCUCCAAGUGUGCGGGUGUGCGUGUGCUUGUCCUUUCCACUGGGUGUGCGCGUGCGUGGUUGGGUCCGCGUUGGAUCUCAUUGCUCGGUAGAGCACCACAACCUCCUCGCCGUUCUUCUUGUUUUGUCUUUUCUUGCUCUCUUCGCAACACCUCCUCACGCGACGGCGCACGUGAAGCUGUGCGGUCGUGCUUUCCCUCGGCUGUUUGUGUGUGUAUGUGUGUGUGCACCGCCCGCCUAGCCGCAUCUCGUCAGCCUCCCUGCUUCGUCUUCCUCUCUUCUUCUCCCACGCACACAUCCGUCGAAUCGGCCCCCGCGAAGCCCUUCAUAGACCCGCGAAACCUCACCUAACGAAAAGCGAGCCAUGGAGCACUCCGUAUCGAGCCGCUCUCCCAGCGGGCAGUGGUACCCGCAGCAGCAGCCACCAGCCUUCCACAGAAACAAUUCCCAACAGCAACUGCAGUGGAGCCCCGCGUCGGGCACAGCGACACCGAUGGUGAUGGUGGGCGGCGUCCAGCCCACAGCGGUGCCCGCCGGCACUGGUUCUGCCAUGCUGGGCAACUCGGGCAUGCUAAGCAGCGGCUCGGCGAACCUUUGUGGGCAGCCGCAUCUGCACUCUGGCAUGACACCACAGCAGCAGAUGAUGAUUAUGCAGAGCAUGUACACGCCGCAGAGCCAGUGUUGUGCCCCCUGCUGCGGCACGCAAGAGUGCAGCUUUUGCCCGCGGCCUGGCGAGCCGGUCGAUCCGUUCUGCUGCACGCCAAGGCGGCCGGAUCAGGGGCCGAGAUGGUGGGAGAGUAUCUACAAGUACUUCGACUGGACCUUCUUCCUCGCCUGCAUCCUGUGCGUGCUCACGAUCGUCGGCUUUGCGAUGGUGAUGGUGACGAGGAAUCAGGACAACAUUUUCGCCGCCUUCGGCGUGCACAACGCCACCGCUCUUGACGCAGCAAUGAUGCCCUACAUCCGCUGGAUGAACACUAAACCAACGAUCUUGAUCGACGGCAGCAGCGGCGUCCCGUCGAACGCCGUGGAGGCAGUCGAGACGGCCCUCUUGGCCUCGUCAGAGUACGCCGUUGAAGCCACGGCGUCGGAGUCAAGCAUCCCCGCGCCCAUCUUGGUCCCAGCGCACAACUGCACGCGGCGCAGGCUGUUCGGCAGCUUUGGUGAGCUGUGUAUGGAGGACAACAUGUACGCGAACACGUUCGCCGUGCAGCUGAGCUUCUGGAACGACGCGCGCGACACGCUGUGGAUUCUGGCGAUGGUGUACAGCUUCUUGACGGUGUUGUACGCGGUGCUGAUCAAUGUGCGCCGGCAUGCGUCGUGUGCCAGCGUAGAAGGCGCGCGCGGGUCGUCGUUCAUGCUGCCGUCCAUCACCCCACAGCAGCAAGAGGAGUUUGUGAAGAUGACGCCGCAGCAGCAGCAGGCCUUCAUCCAGGAAUUCCAGCAGCAGGUGGCGACGGUGCAGCAGCAGAACCCUUCCGCCGUAUUCCCGUCGCAGCAGCCGCCAGGCGUUGGCUGCUGCGGCUCCGACAGGGGCAUCGAGUUCUACGAGACGCCCUUCUACGAAUUUGUGCGCUUCGCGUGGCUGUUCUCCGGGCUCACGACGUUUGCGUGGACGUGCAACCUCUUUAUAUCCUUCUGGUCCUUCUCCUACUUCUAUAUUCGCGAAACCACGGGCCCGCUGAACGCCUUCUGGACCGUCUACACGCGCAAGAUGGAGGCCACGCUCAUCGUUGUGGCCGUCUUCCUCGCGUGGCCGCUCUGCAACUUUGUGCUGGAGCUGGUCGUUUUGGUCGCCCUGGUGCUCCCGUGGCUCGUCAUCCGCUCCACCUGGAAGCGGGGCAUCCAGAUGUACCGUCCAGCCCUGCCGCCCUCGCAGCUGCCCGCCUACAUUCGUGCUGACAUGUUCUUCAUGGACUUCCAGGAUGUCAAGCGGCUUGGGUUCUCGCGAUUGGCGUGGAUCAUCCUGACCGACUCCGAGAAGCCCUUCUUCGAAGGCUGUGAGGACCCCACGGUCGACAAGGAUCCCGCCAUGACGCAACUGAUGCAGCAACGCAUGCAGUGGCGGCAGAUGAUGGCGUCCAUGCUGCCUCCGUGGAUACAGCAGCAGCAGCAGAUGUCUGUGAUGAGUCCCGGUGGCGCGGGCGUGAUGAUGCCAGGGCAGGUGGCAACACAGCAACGGCAGUUUGACUUCAGUGGGGCGGCGACCCCGCCGGCCAACUCGCUGAUGCAGUCGCCGGCGCAGUACCCUGUCGAGGAUGGCGAGCACAGGUCUCACAAACGACGCCGCCAUCACAGCACGCACGAUCGCCGGCACGCCGACCCCCUAGGGGCGGCGUCGAUGGAGCAGACUUCGGCGGGGCUCGGUGCCGCCGGCAAGGAAAACUCGACCCGCCACCGUCACCGUCGUCACAGCCACCACCGCAGCCACAGCCGCAGCAGAAGCAGAAGCAGGGGUGUCUUCGACGGUGGCGUGUCGCAGCCGCCGGUUUCGGACGCUGCCGUGGAAAACGGUGCCGACCACACCGCCGAUGGGGCGUCUCGGCGUCGCCAUCGUCGUAGCCACAGCCACAGUCACAGCAGGGCCGCCGCUGGCGACGACCCGAGUGCGUUGGUUGUUGCUGCGCCCCGCAGCACGGGUGACGCGGUGCAGAACGGUGGCGCGGCGGCAGCGGCCGACUUAGACGCCCUCAUGCAGCUUUAGCCAAGCUCUGUGAUGAGCACGCAUGGACGCAUGACGAGUAGCGCUGCAUUCCUACAUGUUGUGUUUGUCUCGGCCCUCGUGUGUGUUGCCGAGCCUGCAUGACGCGAAACCCCUCCGCCCCUUCGCUACUUUGGAUACCGCCGGCGUGGCUUCCAUCGCUCAUGCGGAUGAUCGUAACAACGAAAGAGCGUACGCCUAGAGCACAUAAACUAUGUGAGCGGGGUGGGUGCGUGCACGCACCGCUAGAGCUCUAGAGGGGGAGAGAAAGGGGGUGUUGGGUCGGAUCAGAUUGGAGAGAGGUGCAGAGGAGAGGUGAUCGACAAGACGAAAGCGGUUGUGUGUGUGCGCGCGCGCAGCAGCAGCAGCAGCAGCAGCAGAGGCCAACAACGGCGAUCAAAAACCAUUCUUGGCGUCGCGCACAACCGCACACCCUUCUUCUCUCAUGCUCCUUGUGUUCCACAGCCGCCCUCCCCCCGCCCCAUCUCUGUCUGUCCGCCUCCCUCCCUUCCGUUGGACGCCCAUUCUCUCUCCCAACCCCACGUGGGGUGGUCGUCGUUAACUUUUCAGGCUUUCGUUCCAGUUGAUGCCCGCAUUUUCCGCCGUGCUUCGAACUGCUGCCGCUGCUCAGUGUACACGGGUUUGUGCGUGCACGGCCUCUGCGCGGGAUGGAGGCGAAGGACGAGGGAAAGAGGAGCGUGACAGAUUUCCGUCAAUAGUGAUGUGCAUCGCACAGAUGCAGCACCUGCUGGAGAGCACACUUUCUCUCACAGAAUGCAUGCAAAGGGAGUGCAUGGGGAGAGGGGGGCGACUGUCUACACGUGCACCCAAGCUCCCCCUGAUGCCCCUCCCCUUUCUGAUUCUCAGUAGAAAUCAGGGCUCGAACCCCCACACGCACACACACACAACGAAAUGCGGAGAACUCAACGGAUGUCUCUCCUCAGCACCCCAUCCUCUACCCUCCUCUUGUGUGUCCGCGUGCUCACGCUUGGCUGCUAAGUCACGCAGCCAAUGCAAAUACAUAAGACGGAAGGACGGGUGCGCGUGUGCGUGUGUGUGUGCGAAGGGGCAGACAACUUGAAGGCGGUGAUGAUGCGCAUGAUGCUGUUAUAGAGCCGUAAUAGAUGGGACGUAGACGUACGCAGAGAGAAGCGGGAGCGAUCGACAGCCAGAGAGAGACGCGCGUAGGCGGGAAGAGGGCGGGAGGCGGGGCAUGAGAGGGGAGCCAACGCCAGCGACUAUAUCAAAAAGUUUCUUUGCCCUCCCCUCUCUCCCCCAUCACACACACACGCACACGCACACGCACAGGAGCGGUGCCUUCGCGCAUACCCUUACUCCACCCUCCGUUCCGCUUCAGCGAUGCGCGUGCGAUUCGCUUUUUCGCUGUUGUUGUUUUUGUUGUUGUUUUUUCUUCCUCUUAUUCGCUCGAAGCUUUUCAAUGACGCUAACGAUUCCGGCGUUGGUAACCGGCCACCAGCAUCCCAGCUACGGCGACGACGUCCAACACCACCACAAUGCCCCUCCUCCUCCUCCUCCCUCUCUCCGAAGGUUCGGUACACGAUGCGGGCACGCUUGUGGGGGGAGGGAGAGAAGGGGGAGAGAAGGACGGGAGGACGAUAUUUGUGGCACCAGUGAUGUCCGUUGCACGCGUGAGCAACGGUGUGCGGAGGCGCUGAGUGUCACGUACACAUCUGUGUCUGCCUUUGAGCGUUUCUUUCUUGACUUUCUGUGUUGUUGGUUGAGAGGAAGAAGAGGGGAGGGUGGAUGGGUGUGUGUGUGGGGGGGGAGGGGCCACCAUUGGCGCGUGUCUUUGGUGGCCCCUCUCUCUGUCUCCUUUGCAUCCUCGGCCUCUGUCGAUUGUGUGGGGUGGCGUGUGCGUGUGCGGGCACACACACACACACACUUCCCCCCCUCCGCCCUCACGCUCCGCUUAGGCUCGUGUGUUGUCCGUCGCCAUUUUUUUCUUUGUUUCUUCCACGCCCUCGGCCCUUCUUUUCACAAGCGCCCCGCCCCCUCCCUCCGCCCCUCCCUUCUUCCCUCAUGACGGCGUUUCUGGGCGGGGGCCGGGGCCGGGGCGGCUUGACGUUCUCUCUUAUGCUGAUUAGUG
This 4883-nucleotide unclassified non-coding RNA is filed under the name Leishmania donovani. Its description in RNAcentral is "gene:LdHU3.05.0660(CDS-product:hypothetical_prote in_conserved)". Lineage: Eukaryota; Euglenozoa; Kinetoplastea; Trypanosomatida; Trypanosomatidae. The record is from RNAcentral.